Crotalus tigris (Tiger rattlesnake) is the source of this 787-nucleotide non-coding RNA. The record is from the annotation of a RefSeq genome assembly. NCBI's taxonomy places the organism in Eukaryota, Metazoa, Chordata, Lepidosauria, Squamata, Viperidae.
UCUCAUUUGCAUGAAAGGAGAAAGAAGAGAGCUUUUAAGGAAAGGAAAGAGGAAGAUCUGAAGAAGAUUAUCAUUUUCUUCCUCAAAAGAUUAUUCCUUGUCAAAGCUGACCAUGGGCUGGGCUGUGAUUUUCUUGGCAGUCCUCACUUACUGCACAGGCACUGAUGGUCAGUCCCCUUGGACUCAGCCUCCCUCCAGCUCCAUCUCCCUGGGUGGAACCAUUACGAUCACCUGUAGAACUCAGAGUACCAACAGAAUCGGCUGGUAUCAACAGAAAGAAGGAAAAGGCCCUCAUUUUGUCCACUGUGAUGGCUGCAGCAACAGGGGAGAAGGGAUCCCAAAUCGCUUCACUGCCACCAGAUCUGGCACUACAGGAUCCUUGGCCAUCACCAAUGUGGAGGUUGGAGACGAGGCAGAUUAUUACUGCGGCAGCUGGAACAGUGCAGUUACCCAGUUGCACAACCUCAGCCUUCAACAACUGCAGUCCCUGAAGGACUCAGAAUUUGUGGCACCUGGAGGGACAGUCACCCUGUCUUGUCGAUACGAUGGUGGAAAUCUUGGGGAUAGCCAUGAACCUUCGUGGUCCCAGCAGGUAGCUGGGCAACAACCUCGAGGACUGAUCUAUCACACUAGUUCCAGACUAUCAGGGGUUCCAGAACGUUUCUCUGGAUCCAGAUCAGGGAAUGUGUUGUCCUUGACUAUCACUCGGGCUCUGGUUGAAGACGAAGCCACCUACUAUUGUUCCAUCUGGACGAGUAGUCAGUUCCACAGUGAUUUGUUCAGGUGA